Molecule: ribosomal RNA, 253 nt
Filed under: uncultured bacterium
Lineage: Bacteria
Description: partial 16S ribosomal RNA
Rfam family: Bacterial small subunit ribosomal RNA
Source: RNAcentral
UACAGAGGGGGCAAGCGUUAUUCGGAAUUAUUGGGCGUAAAGGGCGCGUAGGCGGCUUGGCAAGUGGAUGGUGAAAUCCCUCGGCUUAACCGAGGAACUGCCGUCCAAACUGCUUCGCUUGAGACCGGGAGAGGUGAGUGGAAUUCCCAAUGUAGCGGUGAAAUGCGUAGAUAUUGGGAGGAACACCAGUGGCGAAGGCGGCUCACUGGACCGGUACUGACGCUGAUGCGCGAAAGCGUGGGGAGCAAACGGG